This 65-nucleotide transfer RNA is filed under the name Dichorragia nesimachus. RNAcentral describes it as "tRNA-Asn". The record is from RNAcentral. Lineage: Eukaryota; Metazoa; Arthropoda; Insecta; Lepidoptera; Nymphalidae.
UGAUAAAAUUGAAUAAAAAUUCCAAUUAGAAAUAUUUUAUAUUAAGCUGCUAACUUAAUUUAUAG